RNAcentral lists this transfer RNA (65 nucleotides) under Gibbosula laosensis. RNAcentral's name for it is "tRNA-Arg". The record is from RNAcentral. Lineage: Eukaryota; Metazoa; Mollusca; Bivalvia; Unionida; Margaritiferidae.
GAACAAGAAACUAACAGUGUUAUGGUUUCGGCCCAUAAGUAUGGCUACACUUGUACCCUUGUUCU